Molecule: transfer RNA, 72 nt
Filed under: Sphaerodactylus townsendi
Lineage: Eukaryota; Metazoa; Chordata; Lepidosauria; Squamata; Sphaerodactylidae
Description: tRNA-Met
Rfam family: tRNA
About the family: Transfer RNA (tRNA) molecules are approximately 80 nucleotides in length. Their secondary structure includes four short double-helical elements and three loops (D, anti-codon, and T loops).
Source: RNAcentral
GGGGCUGUGGCUCAAUGGCAGAGCAGCCACUUCAUGUGUGGAAGGUCCUCAGUUCAAUUCCUGGUGUCUCCU